GACGAACGCUGGCGGCGUGCCUAAUACAUGCAAGUCGAGCGAAUCUUUGGGAGCUUGCUCCCGAAGGUUAGCGGCGGACGGGUGAGUAACACGUGGGCAACCUGCCUAUAAGACUGGGAUAACUUCGGGAAACCGGAGCUAAUACCGGAUAAUUCUUUUCCUCUCAUGAGGAAAGGCUGAAAGACGGCGCAAGCUGUCACUUAUAGAUGGGCCCGCGGCGCAUUAGCUAGUUGGUGAGGUAACGGCUCACCAAGGCGACGAUGCGUAGCCGACCUGAGAGGGUGAUCGGCCACACUGGGACUGAGACACGGCCCAGACUCCUACGGGUGGCAG
RNAcentral lists this ribosomal RNA (333 nucleotides) under uncultured Bacillota bacterium. Its description in RNAcentral is "bacterial SSU rRNA". It matches the Rfam family "Bacterial small subunit ribosomal RNA", at positions 28 to 351 of the family's 1533-position model. Lineage: Bacteria; Bacillati; Bacillota. The record is from RNAcentral.